RNAcentral lists this transfer RNA (70 nucleotides) under Hemigymnus melapterus. RNAcentral describes it as "tRNA-Ser". The record is from RNAcentral. Lineage: Eukaryota; Metazoa; Chordata; Actinopteri; Labriformes; Labridae. RNAcentral also lists the same sequence under 1 other name.
GAUAGAGGCCUGCCCGCAACGAAGGACUGCUAACCCUCGUGCCCCGGGUUGGAUUCCCGGGCUCAACUCG